This is a long non-coding RNA of Myotis davidii, 1422 nucleotides long. RefSeq lists it as uncharacterized. Lineage: Eukaryota; Metazoa; Chordata; Mammalia; Chiroptera; Vespertilionidae. The transcript is spliced from 3 exons. The record is from RefSeq and is a predicted model, not a curated record.
CAAGAAUUUUGUGCACUGGGCCUCUAGUUGUCUUAUAAAUGUCAUACUAUUCAAUGUUCCUCUCCCUUUAAAAAUCAAUAAGAAUAUUUUUAAAGAGCAAACAAAUAUACCCCAAAUAAUGACACUAUUAGACAUUAACAAAGCUUAUUUCAAAAAGUGAGCUAUAAAAUCUAAAUAUCCCUUUUCACAAAUAGAAAAGAGAAAUGGAAUAAAAAUCUAAAUGAUGAAGACAAAGACCUGAGAGGACAAUGUUCAAGGGAUAACCUUCCAAAGAGCAGAAUUAAGGUUGAAUCAAGAGGAAUAUUUAUUGUGAUUAUUGUGUCCCUUCUCCACUGUUAUUGUAAGAGAGUGGAGAGGCCACUUCUAGACUAGGAAGAACCACUUCUAGACUAGGAAGAAGACCCAACCACACCUGGAGACUCUGGAGAUUCAACUGAAUGCAAUGACUGGAUGGGAGCCUACUUGCACCUAUAGAAUUCUCUGGAAAAAAGGUACUACGAUUUUAUGAAGUUUACUCAGAUUUUGUAGCCCUAAAGCUUUGAAAUGGCAUCCAGUUCCAAGUCUCCUUUUAUUAGUGAUGAUGAUAUCGCUAAAUAUGUCAGUUCUUGCUGUGAAGAUGACGAUUUUGUGGAAGAUAUUGGAGAAGGGUAUCCCUCUGGAAGUGAUCAAGAAUGUCCCAUCAAAUCAGAAUCGGAAAGUGAUUGCAGUGACGUGUUUGUCCCUCUGAAACAUAAACGAGUCCCAGUAAUAAUUGAAAGUUCAGACAGUUACAGCACAUGUGAAAAUGUUGAAGAUUUACACAAUUCUAGUUUUCCUGUAUUUAUUGAAACACAACCUGGCCAAGAUUUAUAUGUGCAGUCUAGUCUUUCUUUCCUAGAAUCACUGGGUCCGAAGCAUGCUCCUCCCCAGGAUGCCAAACCUAUAGAAUAUUUUGACAUGUUUUUCACUUUGGCUCUGUGGAAUCUAAUGAUGGCUGAAACUAAUAGGUAUGGACAUCAUUUUUUGCGUUCUCAGCAGCAAGGAUCACCCAGUUCUAGAGUCAGACAAUGGAGGCCUGUAAACGUCCUUGAAAUGAAAGCAUUUGUGGCUGUGCUGUUGGAAAUGGGAAUUACACAAAGGCCUACCAUAUUCUCAUACUGGGAUAGGAAUAGUAGAGCCAUUCCAUGGUUUGGGAACGUGUUCUCAAGGAAUAGAUUUCAACUGAUAUUAAAAUUUUUUCAUCUUGUUGACAAUGAAAAACUGUUUCCACCAGGUCAUCAGAAUUAUGACCCUGCUCUAAAUUUAUCCCCCUUGUUGAGCAUGCAAAUAGGUUGUUCAGUUUUCAUUACCCCACCAGCACUUAUCCAUUGAUGAGUCCCUAAUACAAUAUCUUCGAAAUAAGAAGCACCACAAGUGGGGGAUAAAGUGUUGAAUGUUGUGUGA